This 392-nucleotide ribosomal RNA is filed under the name uncultured bacterium. RNAcentral describes it as "partial 16S ribosomal RNA". It matches the Rfam family "Bacterial small subunit ribosomal RNA", at positions 523 to 918 of the family's 1533-position model. The record is from RNAcentral.
AUACGGAGGAUCCGAGCGUUAUCCGGAUUUAUUGGGUUUAAAGGGUGCGCAGGCGGCCAUUUAAGUCAGCGGUUAAAUCGUGGGGCUCAACCCCAUUCUGCCGUUGAUACUGGGUGGCUUGAUUGCGGUCGAGGUUGGCGGAAUUCGUUGUGUAGCGGUGCAAUGCAUAGAUAUGACGAAGAACACCGAUUGCGUAGGCAGCUGACCAGACCGCAAAUGACGCUCAUGCACGAAAGUGCGGGGAUCGAACAGGAUUAGAUACCCUGGUAGUCCGCACAGUAAACGAUGAAUACUUGUUUUCGGCGAUAUAAUGUCGGAGGCAAAGCGAAAGCGAUAAGUAUUCCACCUGGGGAGUACGCCGGCAACGGUGAGACUCAAAGGAAUUGACGGGG